Molecule: ribosomal RNA, 274 nt
Filed under: uncultured Sebacina
Lineage: Eukaryota; Fungi; Basidiomycota; Agaricomycetes; Sebacinales; Sebacinaceae
Description: partial large subunit ribosomal RNA
Source: RNAcentral
GCGUUUGAAGUCAGUCAUAUCUGGUGGGAUUCAGCCGGGCUUUUGCCAGGUGUACUUCUCAUCCGAUGGGUCAGCAUCAAUUUCGACCGGGGGAAAAAGGCAUGGGGAAUGUGGCUGUCUUCGGGCAGUGUUAUAGCCCCGUGUUGUAUGCCUCGGUUGGGAUUGAGGAAUGCAGCGCGCCUUCGUGGCCAGGGGUUUACUCCUCUUGAAUCGCGCUUAGGAUGCUGGCAUAAUGGCUUUAAGCGACCCGUCUUGAAACACGGACCAAGGAGUC